Molecule: long non-coding RNA, 83 nt
Organism: Aricia agestis (brown argus)
Lineage: Eukaryota; Metazoa; Arthropoda; Insecta; Lepidoptera; Lycaenidae
Exons: 3
Source: RefSeq, a predicted model, not a curated record
GUUUAAGUACUCUAAGGAGUAGGACGCGGCAUUCUCGUUCGAUUGUUUCAGUCUCAAAACGAUUUCGUGGUAGGCCUACUGGU